AUUGAACGCUGGCGGCAGGCCUAACACAUGCAAGUCGAGCGGAUGAAGGGAGCUUGCUCCUGGAUUCAGCGGAGGACGGGUGAGUAAUGCCUAGGAAUCUGCCUGGUAGUGGGGGAUAACGUCCGGAAACGGGCGCUAAUACCGCAUACGUCCUGAGGGAGAAAGUGGGGGAUCUUCGGACCUCACGCUAUCAGAUGAGCCUAGGUCGGAUUAGCUAGUUGGUGGGGUAAAGGCCUACCAAGGCGACGAUCCGUAACUGGUCUGAGAGGAUGAUCAGUCACAGUGGAACUGAGACACGGUCCAGACUCCUACGGGAGGCAGCAGUGGGGAAUAUUGGACAAUGGGCGAAAGCCUGAUCCAGCCAUGCCGCGUGUGUGAAGAAGGUCUUCGGAUUGUAAAGCACUUUAAGUUGGGAGGAAGGGCAGUAAGUUAAUACCUUGCUGUUUUGACGUUACCAACAGAAUAAGCACCGGCUAACUUCGUG
RNAcentral lists this ribosomal RNA (484 nucleotides) under uncultured bacterium. Its description in RNAcentral is "partial 16S ribosomal RNA". It matches the Rfam family "Bacterial small subunit ribosomal RNA", at positions 30 to 507 of the family's 1533-position model. The record is from RNAcentral.